GUGCUCCUCAGGCAGCACAUACACUAAAGCUGGAAUGAUACAGACUAGCAUGGCCCCUGCAUGAGAUGACACAUGAAGGAGACCAAGGGAAAAGGAAGUG
Molecule: small nuclear RNA, 100 nt
Filed under: Panthera tigris altaica (Amur tiger)
Lineage: Eukaryota; Metazoa; Chordata; Mammalia; Carnivora; Felidae
Source: RNAcentral